GAAGAAGAAGAAGAAGAAGAAGUGAGGAAAAAAAGAAGUGAACCAUGAGAGUUUGUAUUAUAUUUGUUUGAUAAAAACCAAGAGGAAGUUGGAGGAAUUUCAGGUCUCAAGAAACGGAAAAUAGAGGUUUGAGCUAAUGAUGUUGUCUUGUGCUGUUGAAUGGUAGAAAUGAUGCAUCAAGAACGGGGUUUCCAUUAUGAUGGUAUAAACAA
RNAcentral lists this unclassified non-coding RNA (212 nucleotides) under Hevea brasiliensis (rubber tree). Lineage: Eukaryota; Viridiplantae; Streptophyta; Magnoliopsida; Malpighiales; Euphorbiaceae. The record is from RNAcentral.